GACGAACCGUGCGAACGAUCAUCGGAAUCACGGGGCUUAAAGGGAGCGUCGGCGAGCUAACAAGUCUGGGGUGAAAUGCCACGGCUCAACCGUGGAACUGCCUUAGAUACUGUCGGCCUCGAGGGAGAUAGGGGCAUGCGGAACUGUAGGUGGAGCGGUGAAAUGCGUUGAUAUCUACAGGAACUCCGGUGGCGAAAGCGGCGUGCUGGAUCUCUUCUGACGCUGAGGCUCGAAAGCUAGGGGAGCAAACGGG
RNAcentral lists this ribosomal RNA (253 nucleotides) under uncultured bacterium. RNAcentral's name for it is "partial 16S ribosomal RNA". It matches the Rfam family "Bacterial small subunit ribosomal RNA", at positions 524 to 776 of the family's 1533-position model. The record is from RNAcentral.